CCUACGGGGUGCAGCAGUGAGGAAUAUUGGUCAAUGGACGCAAGUCUGAACCAGCCAUGCCGCGUGCAGGAAGACGGCUCUAUGAGUUGUAAACUGCUUUUGUACGAGGGUAAAUCCCGAUACGUGUAUCGGGUUGAAAGUAUCGUACGAAUAAGGAUCGGCUAACUCCGUGCCAGCAGCCGCAGUAAUACGGAGGAUUCAAGCGUUAUCCGGAUUUAUUGGGUUUAAAGGGUGCGUCAGCAGUUAGAUAAGUUAGAGGUGAAAUCCCCGGGGUCAAAUCCGGCACUGCCGCUGAUACUGACGGACUAGAGUUGAGUAGAGGUAGGCGGAAUGUAUGGUGUAGCGGUGAAAUGCAUAGAGAUCAUACAGAACACCGAUUGCGAAGGCAGCAUACCAAACUACGACUGACGUUGAGGCACGAAAGCGUGGGGAGCAAACAGGAUUAGAUACCCGAGUAGUC
Molecule: ribosomal RNA, 460 nt
Filed under: uncultured bacterium
Lineage: Bacteria
Description: partial 16S ribosomal RNA
Rfam family: Bacterial small subunit ribosomal RNA
Source: RNAcentral